UAUUCGUGCAGGAACUGAUAAAAAAUAUUGGGAAAAGAGCUCUAAGGAGUGCACCAAGGAACUGUACUCGAAGCUUUUGAGGGACGAGCCUGAUCUGUUAACAGAUGAAGUUUUGGAACAAUCGCAAUCAUUUGUGAGACACAUGUUGGAUGAGCAAGGCGAAUUGAACUCUAUCGUUACCCAAUUACCAGUACUGAGGCGACGUAAGCUACUGAACUUCCAUUUCCAGAGAGCGACAGGUGUAGACGUUAGUUGCCUACGAAACUAUGUUGCUUCCAAACGGGAAAAAAUAAUCGAUUACUCUUUAACUCUCCGUAAACGCAUACAAAUCAAGGACGAUAUUGAGCUGUUUGAAUUUCUUUGUUCGCUUGUUGGGGAGCAGAUUGAGCAGCUUGUGAUUAAAAAGGAGAUUGGAACUCGUAUCAAAGAUGUCGUUUUGGAUGGUCCUGGGCCGGUAUUAGUUGCAAUAGAUAUUGACGGUGGCAAAAGUAUGUAUUACGUGUUUGCAGAACGGACGAGGCUAUCCAAAGGUA
Long non-coding RNA from Ochlerotatus camptorhynchus, 533 nucleotides. RefSeq lists it as uncharacterized. NCBI's taxonomy places the organism in Eukaryota, Metazoa, Arthropoda, Insecta, Diptera, Culicidae. The record is from RefSeq and is a predicted model, not a curated record. The transcript has 3 exons.